UCCGUCUCAAAAAACAAAACAAAACACCACCACCAAAAAAACCCCAACCAAACAAAAAAACACAGUUUCUUUGGUAUACUGUGCCUAUCUGCUCUGUACCACCUGCCAUGUUGCUGGGGAGUGUUUCAUUCAGCAGACAGAUUUUCCCUCUAAGCCUAAUACGCUUCAUUUCUAGAGGCCAGAAGUCACCCCGGCUACCAGAAGCUUGUUCUUCUCUCUUACCUCUAAGAACUUAGUAUUUGGGGUGGGGUUGGUCUGGUCUCUAGGGAAACUCUGGAGUUUUCAUACAGUGCCUACAAGAGCAGCCCACUCUAGUUAUGACCGUGGAUCUGAACAUCAAGACAUCACUAUCAAAAAUCCAGCCAUUGGAUUAUAAAUCAUGCUGCUAUAA
This 391-nucleotide long non-coding RNA is filed under the name Homo sapiens (human). RNAcentral's name for it is "non-protein coding lnc-NDUFA1-2:1". Lineage: Eukaryota; Metazoa; Chordata; Mammalia; Primates; Hominidae. The record is from RNAcentral.